GUAGGGAAUCUUGCGCAAUGGGCGAAAGCCUGACGCAGCCAUGCCGCGUGAAUGAUGAAGGUCUUAGGAUUGUAAAAUUCUUUCACCGGGGACGAUAAUGACGGUACCCGGAGAAGAAGCCCCGGCUAACUUCGUGCCAGCAGCCGCGGUAAUACGAAGGGGGCUAGCGUUGCUCGGAAUUACUGGGCGUAAAGGGCGCGUAGGCGGACAGCUUAGUCAGAGGUGAAAGCCCAGGGCUCAACCUUGGAAUUGCCUUUGAUACUGGCUGUCUUGAGUUUGGGAGAGGUGAGUGGAACUCCGAGUGUAGAGGUGAAAUUCGUAGAUAUUCGGAAGAACACCAGUGGCGAAGGCGACUCACUGGCCCAAUACUGACGCUGAGGCGCGAAAGCGUGGGGAGCAAACAGGAUUAGAAACCCUUGUAGUCC
RNAcentral lists this ribosomal RNA (425 nucleotides) under uncultured bacterium. RNAcentral's name for it is "partial 16S ribosomal RNA". It matches the Rfam family "Bacterial small subunit ribosomal RNA", at positions 354 to 796 of the family's 1533-position model. The record is from RNAcentral.